GAUGAACGCUGGCGGCGUGCCUAAUACAUGCAAGUCGAGCGAACAGACGAGGAGCUUGCUCCUCUGACGUUAGCGGCGGACGGGUGAGUAACACGUGGAUAACCUACCUAUAAGACUGGGAUAACUUCGGGAAACCGGAGCUAAUACCGGAUAAUAUAUUGAACCGCAUGGUUCAAUAGUGAAAGACGGUUUUGCUGUCACUUCUAGAUGGAUCCGCGCCGCAUUAGCUAGUUGGUAAGGUAACGGCUUACCAAGGCAACGAUGGGUAGCCGACGUGAGAGGGGGAUAGGCGACACUGGAAGUGAGACGCGGUCCAGACUCCUACGGGAGGCAGCAGUAGGGAAUCGUCCGCAAUGGGCGGAAGCCUGACGGAGCGACGCCGCGUGAGUGAUGAAGGUCUUCGGAUCGUAAAACUCUGUUAUUGGGGAAGAACAAAUGUGUAAGUAACUAUGCACGUCUUGACGGUACCUGAUCAGAAAGCAACGGCUAACUACGUG
RNAcentral lists this ribosomal RNA (497 nucleotides) under uncultured bacterium. RNAcentral's name for it is "partial 16S ribosomal RNA". It matches the Rfam family "Bacterial small subunit ribosomal RNA", at positions 28 to 507 of the family's 1533-position model. The record is from RNAcentral.